CAAAAAAUUAUGAGGUCCAAAGCAUGCUUUAGCAGCCUUACCCUUGGCCGGCACCGGCCUACACCGCCGAGCCCCACUUUUUUACCUGUAGUUUUGGAGAUCCAUCAAAAUCCGUACAUGAUUUAGUGAUAGAGUUACAAGAAAGUAACUCCCGUAUGCUCUCUCAUUUUAGCCACGUGGGGUCAGUCCUGCAAGACAUGCAAUUGGACUCAACAACUUUGGCAGAGAAAACAACAGAGGAGGCCACUGUGGAUGAUGAACCGGACAAUAUAAUGUUGUGUUAGUUGGUGUCAAUGAGAGUGACUUUGAUUUAGUCUACAAAACCUCAAAAGCUCUUGAUCCACAAUCUCUUGUUAUUAAUGGUGGGGAUACAUUUCCAGAACUAGAGGGUUUCAAAGUUCUACCUAUUGCUACUGUUAUCACAUACUCUAAGGCAGAUGCGAAGCCGGGUAUUUAAGUGUGUGAGUUCUAAAUUUUAAAAUAACACAUUACUUUCAGGGAAAUCAAACCCUCAUUUUUUUUCAGCGAACCCACAACCCUUAUCAUUGAACCGAGACCCAUUUUGUUACUAGGUUCGACAGUAUAUAUUUAUAUAGAUUUAGUAAAUAUUUCAAUACAAAUACAGGGUUCCGGAAAAAGCGGUUCGCCCGAACCCGCACCCACUACGGUAGCUCCGCCCCUGCUCUAAGGUAGAAUUUAUUCAGGCUGCCGUACUUGGUUUCAAGAACCUAAUUUGGGUAUUGUUUCCUUCAACGGUCCGAUUGAAUUUUACAUUUUGAGAGACCUAGAGUUGCUUACAACCUGUUCGAUCAAAUGCCCAAAUCUAAUAGACUGUAUAGGUAUUGGAUGAUGCAUAAAGUUGUGACUGCGCAACAUGCGUUACUUCAUUUUCCGUUUGAUCCUGGUUCAGCAAAUGGACUUAUAUCCGAAGGUGUAGCACUGGUGUUUGAUAAUAGUCUUCUAUGGAAUUUGCUAUAGUAUGUUUGGUGAGAUGUUGGCAAUUGGGAUGGGAGAUCGAGCAGGGUUUUUUGCAGACCAAGUGUUUGAUGGAAAGUUUCAAAAAAACAGCCAUGAGUGCAUUUUCCUGUUUGCAAACAAGGAGUUGAUUUUAAUUUCUCUUAGUUACCACGAUUGUCGAAUACCUACUGAGACAGAUGGAUUGAGUAGAAAUGCAGCUUUCCUUCAAAGCAUCUUAAACCUUCAAUAUGGACAUCAAUUUUCCAUGUACCACUGUCGUUGUCUUGAUACUGGGCAAACACCAUCUCUAGUGACACUGUCCGGAGCUGUUCAAAGUUGGCUCAAAUAUCUUGAUAAUGAACCAACAACUGCAGGGUCUUUUUUGCUGCACUUGCAUCAGUUGUAGAAGCUGCACAGUCAAACCUUAUGGACCAAAUGCUUGACGAAAUGCCUCCUUACUGCUCUAAGUUGUUCGAUCCUGGGCCAUCAGCUGCAACUGUCAUUCUCGCGGCAACGGUACUUUAUUUGACAAAUGGACAUUCAGAAGAUGACCAUUUAUUUAUUGAAUGUCCUCAACUUGUUGAAUCUAGAAUUCUAGGUUCGGCGAUUGCAUUUCAAGUGAAUUUCACAAAGCAAUUAGUUUGUGAUGGUGAUUGGAGAGGCAACAUUCAGGUUGCCAGAUUUACUCAACUUCAGGGUGUCUAAUCACUUUGAGCUGGACCUUAAGAGCGAACUGAGGAAGGUCUUUAUCAGUAAACCUAUUGUCUUAAGGAGAACACGAACAACUUGUGAGGGGGCAAGUAGUGUGGCAUCAAUUGCAAAAUGUUUCGAGGGUGCAUUGGAGCCGUAUAAUUUGAUGAAACUCGAUGGGUAUCAACCAUUUGACACAUCACUUGUUAGCGUGAUCAGUUCGUGUUCGACGCUUGCUCCAUUUAGACAGGGCACCAGUUUAUGAUAUAAGCACGGGAGCAAUAUAUGUGGUUGCAAUUGUUAGUCCAUUGUUUAUCAUGUAUUCAACCUCUGGAUGUUUUGCUAUAGCUGCAAGGAAAUUUGAAGACACGGGAGAAGCUGAUAUUGUUUUGUGUACAUUGGACUGCAUCCGAGAUAUUGUUUUCGAUGCUACCAUGUUCGAGAUUGUACCUAGGUUCCAUCUAGUUGAAUCCUAUCUCGGGGGAAAACAGUUUGCCGCUAAUGUAAUGAUGUUCACAGUUGGUGUGCAAAUUGUUAACAAGCCAAUUGUUGUCGGUGGUGGCAGUGGCUCAAGAAAAAGCCUUGUUGGCUCACUGAGAGAAAGACUUUGUGCUCUAACUAGGUAGCAGGUUUUUAUGUGUAUUUUGAACAUCAGGAAAUUACAAUUUAGUUGGUUAAGGAUCCGUAUUAGCCUUGUGACUCAAAAUCCAGCAUUCAUUCGUACUAUUUUACUUGAGAACAACUUGUAUGGAAUGCUUGCAGCUAUGGUUGAAUUUGAAGCUUCUAUUUCUAUUGUCAUUGUGUAA
Long non-coding RNA from Nicotiana tabacum (common tobacco), 2453 nucleotides. RefSeq lists it as uncharacterized. NCBI's taxonomy places the organism in Eukaryota, Viridiplantae, Streptophyta, Magnoliopsida, Solanales, Solanaceae. The record is from RefSeq and is a predicted model, not a curated record.